GGCUACUUGUGGUUCAGCGGUUUGAGCGCUGGAUUAGGACUUUGGGAGACCAGAGUUCGAAUCUCUGUUUAGCCA
Phrynosoma platyrhinos (Desert horned lizard) is the source of this 75-nucleotide non-coding RNA. The record is from the annotation of a GenBank genome assembly. NCBI's taxonomy places the organism in Eukaryota, Metazoa, Chordata, Lepidosauria, Squamata, Phrynosomatidae.